RNAcentral lists this ribosomal RNA (1579 nucleotides) under Escherichia coli. RNAcentral's name for it is "partial 23S ribosomal RNA". It matches the Rfam family "Bacterial large subunit ribosomal RNA", at positions 1273 to 2831 of the family's 2925-position model. Lineage: Bacteria; Pseudomonadati; Pseudomonadota; Gammaproteobacteria; Enterobacterales; Enterobacteriaceae. The record is from RNAcentral.
CUGGAGGUAUCAGAAGUGCGAAUGCUGACAUAAGUAACGAUAAAGCGGGUGAAAAGCCCGCUCGCCGGAAGACCAAGGGUUCCUGUCCAACGUUAAUCGGGGCAGGGUGAGUCGACCCCUAAGGCGAGGCCGAAAGGCGUAGUCGAUGGGAAACAGGUUAAUAUUCCUGUACUUGGUGUUACUGCGAAGGGGGGACGGAGAAGGCUAUGUUGGCCGGGCGACGGUUGUCCCGGUUUAAGCGUGUAGGCUGGUUUUCCAGGCAAAUCCGGAAAAUCAAGGCUGAGGCGUGAUGACGAGGCACUACGGUGCUGAAGCAACAAAUGCCCUGCUUCCAGGAAAAGCCUCUAAGCAUCAGGUAACAUCAAAUCGUACCCCAAACCGACACAGGUGGUCAGGUAGAGAAUACCAAGGCGCUUGAGAGAACUCGGGUGAAGGAACUAGGCAAAAUGGUGCCGUAACUUCGGGAGAAGGCACGCUGAUAUGUAGGUGAAGUCCCUCGCGGAUGGAGCUGAAAUCAGUCGAAGAUACCAGCUGGCUGCAACUGUUUAUUAAAAACACAGCACUGUGCAAACACGAAAGUGGACGUAUACGGUGUGACGCCUGCCCGGUGCCGGAAGGUUAAUUGAUGGGGUUAGCGGUAACGCGAAGCUCUUGAUCGAAGCCCCGGUAAACGGCGGCCGUAACUAUAACGGUCCUAAGGUAGCGAAAUUCCUUGUCGGGUAAGUUCCGACCUGCACGAAUGGCGUAAUGAUGGCCAGGCUGUCUCCACCCGAGACUCAGUGAAAUUGAACUCGCUGUGAAGAUGCAGUGUACCCGCGGCAAGACGGAAAGACCCCGUGAACCUUUACUAUAGCUUGACACUGAACAUUGAGCCUUGAUGUGUAGGAUAGGUGGGAGGCUUUGAAGUGUGGACGCCAGUCUGCAUGGAGCCGGCCUUGAAAUACCACCCUUUAAUGUUUGAUGUUCUAACGUUGGCCCCUGAUCGGGGUUGCGGACAGUGUCUGGUGGGUAGUUUGACUGGGGCGGUCUCCUCCUAAAGAGUAACGGAGGAGCACGAAGGUUGGCUAAUCCUGGUCGGACAUCAGGAGGUUAGUGCAAUGGCAUAAGCCAGCUUGACUGCGAGCGUGACGGCGCGAGCAGGUGCGAAAGCAGGUCAUAGUGAUCCGGUGGUUCUGAAUGGAAGGGCCAUCGCUCAACGGAUAAAAGGUACUCCGGGGAUAACAGGCUGAUACCGCCCAAGAGUUCAUAUCGACGGCGGUGUUUGGCACCUCGAUGUCGGCUCAUCACAUCCUGGGGCUGAAGUAGGUCCCAAGGGUAUGGCUGUUCGCCAUUUAAAGUGGUACGCGAGCUGGGUUUAGAACGUCGUGAGACAGUUCGGUCCCUAUCUGCCGUGGGCGCUGGAGAACUGAGGGGGGCUGCUCCUAGUACGAGAGGACCGGAGUGGACGCAUCACUGGUGUUCGGGUUGUCAUGCCAAUGGCACUGCCCGGUAGCUAAAUGCGGAAGAGAUAAGUGCUGAAAGCAUCUAAGCACGAAACUUGCCCCGAGAUGAGUUCUCCCUGACUCCUUGAGAGUCCUGA